This 87-nucleotide transfer RNA is filed under the name Deltaproteobacteria bacterium. RNAcentral's name for it is "tRNA-Leu". It matches the Rfam family "tRNA". Rfam says of the family: Transfer RNA (tRNA) molecules are approximately 80 nucleotides in length. Their secondary structure includes four short double-helical elements and three loops (D, anti-codon, and T loops). The record is from RNAcentral. Lineage: Bacteria; Pseudomonadati; Myxococcota; Myxococcia.
GCCGGAGUGGUGGAACUGGUAGACGCGCUGGACUCAAAAUCCAGUGUCCAUUAGGACGUGUCGGUUCGAUUCCGACCUCCGGCACCA